GGGCGGCGCAAAGGUAAGAGCGGCUUCCUCUUCUCCCCGGAGUCUCACGGGGCGCCGCGCCUGUCUUACUUCACUCGCGCUUUAUCGUUCCUGGUUGGCUGUGCGUGGCCACAGAGGCGCCGCUGUUGGAACGCGGGUCGGUCCUGUGUCCACACUGGUUGACGGCGGGUGUGGAGCCACUGUCGGGACGCGGGUCGGUGUGGCGCUGAUGUUGUGUUUGGGGGGAAUGGCCUUGGCUGAGGAGAUGUGGCCCAGGCGUCUGCGUGGUUCUCGGGGGGGUCCGCGGGCAGGAAGACGGUCCCCGCUGGUCAAGGCUCUCGCUGGGAGUGGCUCCGAGGGCAGGCAGCGUCACAGCCCACCCCAGCUUGAGAUAGGUCCCCUCCCGGCCUUGGCGCCCGGGGAGGUGAAUGGGCCUGUGGAGUCACAGGCUGCUGCCCAGAGCCAGAGGUCCCCACCUAUAGACGUGCUUCUGUUUCCUAAUCUUUUCCUUUUGCUGUUGUUCCUUGCGAAGUUCAGAGAGGCUAAUUUGUGCAAACCAGAUAACCGUGUGUUUCACAGAUCCCAGCAUCAGAAGGGGUGGUCGUUAUACACGCGGGACGGUCCAGAGGCUGGAGGGACAGACCUGGGCCAGAUCCCGGCCUCCUGCUGUGGAGGCCAAAGUCUCAGGCAGCUCAGCUUUGUGACAGGAAGCCCCUGAGGUGUCCUGGGCAGCAAAGGAGCUUGUCGGCCCACUCCCCGGCCCAGGUUCAGGGGCUGCUGGAUUCUGAAGACAAAUGAGGCCUUCCGAGUUUGGUUCUUCUCUCUCGCCUGCCCUUGGGAUUUGCUUGGGCCGCAUGUCCCAUGACCCCGGAGACAGUAGGAGGGCCCUGGCCCUGAGCCAACCCAGUGGGUGGGGGCCGCGUCCCCCCAGAGGGAAUGAGUGUCUGGUGGGGCGGCAGCCACAAGGAGGGCCGCGGCUGCCGGCGGCGGGGAGAGCCUCUUGACUGACAGACCCGGAGCUGCCUGCGCCCUCGCGGGAGGCCCUGUGCUCUGGCGUCACCCUCUGGGACACCUGUCUGGGACACAAGCGUUUCGUUCCUGAUUCUGACCGUCCACACUUGUUUGUGCCUGGUGGC
This 1115-nucleotide long non-coding RNA is filed under the name Sus scrofa (pig). RNAcentral's name for it is "lncRNA (ENSSSCG00070007457.1)". Lineage: Eukaryota; Metazoa; Chordata; Mammalia; Artiodactyla; Suidae. The record is from RNAcentral.